Molecule: ribosomal RNA, 459 nt
Filed under: uncultured bacterium
Lineage: Bacteria
Description: partial 16S ribosomal RNA
Rfam family: Bacterial small subunit ribosomal RNA
Source: RNAcentral
CCUACGGGAGGCAGCAGUGAGGAAUAUUGGUCAAUGGUCGGGAGACUGAACCAGCCAAGCCGCGUGAGGGAUGAAGGUACAGAGUAUCGUAAACCUCUUUUGUCAGGGAACAAAGGCGGGGACGCGUCCCCGGAUGAGUGUACCUGAAGAAAAAGCAUCGGCUAACUCCGUGCCAGCAACCGCGGUAAUAGGGAGGAUGCGAGGGUUACCCGGUUUUAUUGGGUUAAAGGGGUGGGCAGGCGGUCUGUUAAGUCAGCGGGCAAAGCCCGGGGCUCAACCCCGGCCCGCCGUUGAAACUGGCAGUCUCGAGUUGGAGAGAGGUAAGCGGAAUGCGCGGUGUAGCGGUGAAAUGCAUAGAUAUAGCGAAGAACACCGAUUGCGAAGGCAGCAUGCCGGCUCCAAACUGACGCUGAGGCACGAAAGCGUGGGUAUCGAACAGGAUUAGAUACCCCGGUAGUC